This 264-nucleotide ribosomal RNA is filed under the name Clostridioides difficile. RNAcentral's name for it is "partial 23S ribosomal RNA". It matches the Rfam family "Bacterial large subunit ribosomal RNA", at positions 1161 to 1433 of the family's 2925-position model. The record is from RNAcentral. Lineage: Bacteria; Bacillati; Bacillota; Clostridia; Peptostreptococcales; Peptostreptococcaceae.
GCGCCGAAGAUUUCCGGGGCUAAAACUUACUACCGAAGCUACGGCAUCAGUAAUGAUGGGUAGGGGAGCUUCCCAUACGGGUUGAAGCAGGACCGUAAGGACAUGUGGACAGUAUGGGAGUGAGAAUGUUGGCAUGGGUAGCGAGAUGUGGGUGAGAAUCCCACAGGCCGUAAACCCAAGGUUUCCAGGGGAAGGUUCGUCCGCCCUGGGUUAGUCGGGACCUAAGCUGAGGCCGAAAGGCGUAGGUGAUGGACAACAGGUUGA